ACGACUACUACCAAGAGGCCGGCUCUUUCUUCACCCGUACCGACAACACCCUCCUUGACAUCCAGAAUACGUAAGCGGAACAUGGACGACUCCUGGAACAGCAACAAAAAUGGAACUAGGACCACGCCACUGCAGUACAAGAACUGAGACAAGACACCACGACGAUGAACGACAACAUCACCACCAUGAUGCGAUUCUGGAACAUUGGGUA
This 211-nucleotide long non-coding RNA is filed under the name Sorghum bicolor (sorghum). Its description in RNAcentral is "long non-coding RNA (SBIC_LNC015828)". Lineage: Eukaryota; Viridiplantae; Streptophyta; Magnoliopsida; Poales; Poaceae. The record is from RNAcentral.